UCCCUAUGGGGUGCAGCAGUCGCGAAAACUUUACAAUGCGGGAAACCGCGAUAAGGGGAUACUGAGUGCCAGCAUCUUAUGUUGGCUGUCCACCUGUAAAAACAGCAGGUGUUAGCAAGGGCCGGGCAAGACCGGUGCCAGCCGCCGCGGUAACACCGGCGGCCCGAGUGGUGACCACUAUUAUUGGGUCUAAAGGGUCCGUAGCCGGUUUGAUCAGUCUUCCGGGAAAUCUGACAGCUCAACUGUUAGGCUUCCGGGGGAUACUGUCAGACUUGGGACCGGGAGAGGUAAGAGGUACUACAGGGGUAGGAGUGAAAUCUUGUAGUCCUUGUGGGACCACCAGUGGCGAAGGCGUCUUACCAGAACGGGUUCGACGGUGAGGGACGAAAGCUGGGGGCACGAACCGGAUUAGAUACCCGGGUAGUCCCAGCCGUAAACGAUGCUCGCUAGGUGUCAGGCACGGUGCGACCGUGUUUGGUGCCGCAGGGAAGCCGUGAAGCGAGCCACCUGGGAAGUACGGCCGCAAGGCUGAAACUUAAAGGAAUUGGCGGGGGAGCACAACAACGGGUGGAGCCUGCGGUUUAAUUGGAUUCAACGCCGGAA
RNAcentral lists this ribosomal RNA (603 nucleotides) under uncultured archaeon. RNAcentral describes it as "bacterial SSU rRNA". It matches the Rfam family "Archaeal small subunit ribosomal RNA", at positions 319 to 923 of the family's 1478-position model. The record is from RNAcentral.